ACUGCUCAGUAACACGUGGAUAACCUGCCCCUGGGUCCGGCAUAACCCCGGGAAACUGGGGAUAAUACCGGAUAACGCAUAUAUGCUGGAAUGCUUUAUGCGUCAAAUGGAUUCGUCUGCCCAAGGAUGGGUCUGCGGCCUAUCAGGUAGUAGUGGGUGUAAUGUACCUACUAGCCGACGACGGGUACGGGUUGUGAGAGCAAGAGCCCGGAGAUGGAUUCUGAGACAUGAAUCCAGGCCCUACGGGGCGCAGCAGGCGCGAAAACUUUACAAUGCGGGAAACCGUGAUAAGGGGACACCGAGUGCCAGCAUCAUAUGCUGGCUGUCCAGGUGUGUAAACUACACCUGUUAGCAAGGGCCGGGCAAGACCGGUGCCAGCCGCCGCGGUAACACCGGCGGCCCGAGUGGUGAUCGUGAUUAUUGGGUCUAAAGGGUCCGUAGCCGGUUUGGUCAGUCCUCCGGGAAAUCUGACGGCUCAACCGUUAGGCUUUCGGGGGAUACUGCCAGGCUUGGAACCGGGAGAGGUAAGAGGUACUACAGGGGUAGGAGUGAAAUCUUGUAAUCCCUGUGGGACCACCUGUGGCGAAGGCGUCUUACCAGAACGGGUUCGACGGUGAGGGACGAAAGCUGGGGGCACGAACCGGAUUAGAUACCCGGGUAGUCCCAGCCGUAAACGAUGCUCGCUAGGUGUCAGGCAUGGCGCGACCGUGUCUGGUGCCGCAGGGAAGCCGUGAAGCGAGCCACCUGGGAAGUACGGCCGCAAGGCUGAAACUUAAAGGAAUUGGCGGGGGAGCAC
This 796-nucleotide ribosomal RNA is filed under the name uncultured archaeon. Its description in RNAcentral is "bacterial SSU rRNA". It matches the Rfam family "Archaeal small subunit ribosomal RNA", at positions 85 to 879 of the family's 1478-position model. The record is from RNAcentral.